UCACAAUUUCUAGCGUUUGACGUAGUCAUUAGCGUGAAAUUGCGUUUCUGCAGUAACACAGUUAUGUUAUGCAGGUGAAGUGUUGUACACAGGUGAAGACUAAUGAGGGAGUGGCAUCCAGGUGUGCGAGUGCAGACAAUGGAUAAGAGGAAGUGACAAGCUGAGAUAGUCAUUCGAGGUCGCCACUGCUACAGCUACUGCCGUGUCUUCUUUUUGUCGGCAAGUGGCUGUAUCAGACGCGUUCAGGAUGGCAGAAUAGGAGAACUUGGAGUUCACCCAGACCCUGGAGGAGAAUCUGACGGAAGCUAAGAAGCUGCUGGUCGCAGGAAUAGUGAAUAAAGCGGCGGACGAGUUACAUAAAGAUGUGCUGAAAGAAGGAUUUUGGAAAGAAUUGUAGAAUGUAGAACAUCCGCACUUGAAGUCGCUGGCAGACAAAGUGACGUCUGUGCCUCUGUGGUGAUGUCAGAUAGAGCACCUGGAACUGUUGACCAACUUAGUCUUGCAUUUAGUAGGUGGAGAACUUUUGCAAAGAAAUUUUCAGAAGUACUUGUGUUUCCACACUCUUUGUAUGUUGCAUUGUACUUGUUGGAGGUGAUGCAAGAAACUUCAUACCUAGCAGCAGUAGAAAAGGCUUUCUACGGAAUUCGAUGGGCGCAUGUACAAGCAGGCUUAGAAUCCUUCACUGACAUUUAAGUUGUUUGAAAUGUUUUAGGAGCAGCCAAACGUUUAUACUAGGAAAGAAGGUGAAGAAAGAAGUAAUCACAGCAGAACUCCUGAAUAAGUUGAUGACCUUGCAUGGAGACAAGGAAGACUUGAAUACAAUUCGCAUAUUAACUUUGAUAUUGAUCUGUUAUGCAUGGUUUUUCAGAUAUAGCGAGACAUCCAAGAUUGUCAAGAUAUUACGCACCUUUUCAGAUAUUAUGUAACAACUUUUUAGUCUAGCAAGACUGAACAAUGGAGAUAGGACAACAAGAUUAAACAAAGCAACGUGUCCUGUUCCUGAGAACAUUUAGUACUGCAGACUAUACUAGGUGAAGUUGACGUGAUUUAUGAUUUUUAUAAUUUCAGAGGUCUCUGUAAAUGCAAGAAUGGCUGGAACAUAAGGACAUCUGGAGGGUUAAGUCACACUAGAGCCAGGGAGGGUAGAUUUGUGGAAGACUGUGGUACAGGACGUUUCAUGUUUUGGUUUACGUUCCCUCAGAGCAGGAGGGGCGACGGAAGCUGCGAAUGCUGGAAUUCCUGAUCGACUCUUCAAACGACAUGGUAGAUGGGAAAUUUGAAAGAUCUACUACAUGAAAGGCUAGCAGUUUUGAUGGCUUUAGGUAUUUAAAUGUGCGUGAAAUAAACUUCCCUGUCUUUGUACUUUCGAAAAUAUGCGGCGCCUGAACCAGGCGGCGCUCUCCCCCCAGACAAGUGUCAUGUGUUGUUAUUGUGUGCGCAUAUUGGGGAGGGGGGUAACUAGUGUGAUGCAGAAAAUCACAAUUUCUAGCGUUUGACGUAGUCAUUAGCGUGAAAUUGCGUUUCUGCAGUAACACAGUUAUGUUAUGCAGGUGAAGUGUUGUACACAGGUGAAGACUAAUGAGGGAGUGGCAUCCAGGUGUGCGAGUGCAGACAAUGGAUAAGAGGAAGUGACAAGCUGAGAUAGUCAUUCGAGGUCGCCACUGCUACAGCUACUGCCGUGUCUUCUUUUUUUGCAAAUGUGAUUUAGCAAGAAAACCCAGAGAAGGAAGUUGUUUUGCAAUGGGCUCUGGUGUACGUCCCCUAUUUUUUUGGCCUUCAAACACAAUGGAAGGUUUUUUUUAGGGGUUGCGUAGCCGGCAAACAACAUAGUCAGAAAAUGUUGUUCAAUGUAUUGUUGUAUCAGACGAUGUUCUAGUUGUAAUAUUAAGUAAGUUUAUUAUGCCAUGCACAAAUGUCAAAGUUAAACUGUGUUUGUAUAAUUGGUCGUUAAUUUCGGCAAUGUUUGAUGUUGUUCUGUUUGGUGAAAUUGUGAAGUGCAAAAUAUGCACGAAGUAUUUGGACAGAAGAGUUUUUCAUUGAUUUUGGUCUGCUCUUUCGGCAAAGUUUCUCAUUAAACUUUUUCUGGCGUACCUGAACCAGGCGGCGCUCUCCCCC
Molecule: long non-coding RNA, 2115 nt
Organism: Branchiostoma floridae (Florida lancelet)
Lineage: Eukaryota; Metazoa; Chordata; Leptocardii; Amphioxiformes; Branchiostomatidae
Exons: 2
Source: RefSeq, a predicted model, not a curated record